Molecule: ribosomal RNA, 401 nt
Filed under: uncultured soil bacterium
Lineage: Bacteria
Description: bacterial SSU rRNA
Rfam family: Bacterial small subunit ribosomal RNA
Source: RNAcentral
AGAACGAACGCUGGCGGCAUGCCUAAUACAUGCAAGUCGAACGAACUCUUCGGAGUUAGUGGCGCACGGGUGCGUAACGCGUGGGAAUCUGCCCUUGGGUUCGGAAUAACAGUUGGAAACGACUGCUAAUACCGGAUGAUGACGAAAGUCCAAAGAUUUAUCGCCCAGGGAUGAGCCCGCGUAGGAUUAGCUAGUUGGUGAGGUAAAGGCUCACCAAGGCGACGAUCAGUAGCUGGUCUGAGAGGAUGACCAGCCACACUGGGACUGAGACACGGCCCAGACUCCUACGGGAGGCAGCAGUGGGGAAUAUUGGACAAUGGGCGCAAGCCUGAUCCAGCCAUACCGCGUGGGUGAAGAAGGCCUUCGGGUUGUAAAGCCCUUUGUGGGAAAGAAAUCCUGCC